RNAcentral lists this ribosomal RNA (246 nucleotides) under uncultured bacterium. Its description in RNAcentral is "partial 16S ribosomal RNA". It matches the Rfam family "Bacterial small subunit ribosomal RNA", at positions 15 to 236 of the family's 1533-position model. The record is from RNAcentral.
GAUCUGGCUCAGGACGAACGCUGGCGGCGUGCUUAACACAUGCAAGUCGAACGAAAAGACGGAAAGAGCUUGCUCUUUUCAGAAUUGAGUGGCAAACGGGUGAGUAACACGUAAACAACCUGCCUUCAGGAUGGGGACAACAGACGGAAACGACUGCUAAUACCGAAUAAGUUCCAAGAGCCGCAUGGCCCAUGGAAGAAAAGGUGGCCUCUACCUGUAAGCUAUCGCCUGAAGAGGGGUUUGCGU